CUACGGGGUGCACCAGUGGGGAAUAUUGGACAAUGGGGGAAACCCUGAUCCAGCAAUGCCGCGUGUGUGAAGAAGGCCUGCGGGUUGUAAAGCACUUUCGGUUGGGAGGACUGCUUCUAGCACUAAUAUUGUUGGAAGUUGACGUUACCUUCAGAAGAAGCACCGGCUAACUCCGUGCCAGCAGCCGCGGUAAUACGGAGGGUGCAAGCGUUAAUCGGAAUUACUGGGCGUAAAGCGCGCGUAGGCGGCUAAAUCAGUCGGGUGUGAAAGCCCCGGGCUUAACCUGGGAACUGCAUCCGAUACUGUCUAGCUUGAGUACAGGAGAGGAGAGUGGAAUUCCACAUGUAGCGGUGAAAUGCGUAGAUAUGUGGAGGAACACCAAUGGCGAAGGCAGCUCUCUGGCCUGAUACUGACGCUGAGGUGCGAAAGCGUGGGGAGCAGACAGGAUUAGAUACCCUUGUAGUC
RNAcentral lists this ribosomal RNA (465 nucleotides) under uncultured bacterium. RNAcentral describes it as "partial 16S ribosomal RNA". It matches the Rfam family "Bacterial small subunit ribosomal RNA", at positions 339 to 795 of the family's 1533-position model. The record is from RNAcentral.